GGCGCAUUUGUCUAGCGGCUAGGACACCACCCUCUCACGGUGGGGACAGGGGUUCGAUUCCCCUAUGCGCUACCA
Molecule: transfer RNA, 75 nt
Filed under: Clostridiales bacterium
Lineage: Bacteria; Bacillati; Bacillota; Clostridia; Eubacteriales
Description: tRNA-Glu
Rfam family: tRNA
About the family: Transfer RNA (tRNA) molecules are approximately 80 nucleotides in length.
Source: RNAcentral